This 253-nucleotide ribosomal RNA is filed under the name uncultured bacterium. Its description in RNAcentral is "partial 16S ribosomal RNA". It matches the Rfam family "Bacterial small subunit ribosomal RNA", at positions 524 to 776 of the family's 1533-position model. The record is from RNAcentral.
UACGUAGGGGGCAAGCGUUGUCCGGAUUUACUGGGCGUAAAGCGCGUGUAGGCGGUUAGAUUAGUCUGCUGUGAAAGCUCGCGGCUCAACUGCGAGAGGGCGGUGGAAACUGUCUGACUAGAGGACGGUAGAGGGGGGUGGAAUUCCCGGUGUAGUGGUGAAAUGCGUAGAGAUCGGGAGGAACACCAGCGGCGAAGGCGGCCCCCUGGGCCGCUCCUGACGCUGAGACGCGAAGGCCAGGGUAGCGAACGGG